Rosa chinensis is the source of this 849-nucleotide long non-coding RNA. RefSeq lists it as uncharacterized. The record is from RefSeq and is a predicted model, not a curated record. NCBI's taxonomy places the organism in Eukaryota, Viridiplantae, Streptophyta, Magnoliopsida, Rosales, Rosaceae. The transcript has 4 exons.
CCAAAACCCAGAUAGAACAUGAGCUCGGCCCUACUGCCAAGUCGAAUUGGAGAUGGGUCCGAAGAUGGAAUGUGAUUUGGAGAUGGGAGCACGCAUGGAUCUUCAACUAGAGGAAAUCUCUCAACACUUAGAAGCUUGAAAUUUGCUGUUGUGCUUCCCUGUGAGAAAUUGGUGGUUGUGACAGAAGUAUUAGCUAGAGCUUAGCCUUAGCGUGCAUUGGGUGGGCACUCAAUUCAAAGACUCCGUCGUAUUCUGGGUGAGUGGUAGGUUCAAGCAGGACAAGUGAUUGUAGUCACAGUAGUUUUAAAGUCUCGAAGCUUUAUUUUGAGGAUUCGGUGAAGCAUGUAGCUUUGAGUUUCUUUAUGGUUUGAAACUGCUACAGAGACGCUGCUGCCAGGAUUUGAGAGAGCAAGGCUUGUUGCUGCUACAAUAUAGGAAGGCCCGCUGCUGGGAUUUGAAAGCGCAAGGCCUACACCAGAAGCGCCACUACGAUAUGUUCAUCGGGACGCUGCCCGACAUGUUCAUCGGGACGCUGCCCGGCAUGUUGGUUUUGACAUCAUUGACACCCGAAGGUGCCGCUGUGAGGAGGGCCUGCAACAGAAAAGAGAAGGUGGUGAAGAGCUAUGGAAUGAGGUCCUGAACCUUUUGUCUUCCAAGAUCCUUUGCUGCUUUCUCCUUAUGCUUUUCCACCCUUGCUGUGCUCCGUUGCGUCCUCCUGUGCCUCUUCACGUUGCGGCCUUCUCCCCCCUUUUUCUUUUCAUGUGGUGCUUAUAUACUGCACUAGAGAUGAGUUUGGCUUGUGUACCACGUUGAAAGUUUUAGAGUUCAACUUGAAGUGAAAUGGCUGGA